Long non-coding RNA from Melitaea cinxia (Glanville fritillary), 533 nucleotides. RefSeq lists it as uncharacterized. The record is from RefSeq and is a predicted model, not a curated record. NCBI's taxonomy places the organism in Eukaryota, Metazoa, Arthropoda, Insecta, Lepidoptera, Nymphalidae. The transcript has 2 exons.
CAUUUUAUCAACACGUAGAGCCUGACAUUUUCAUAAUCAAGUCAAAAUGUAACAUUUGUGGUAAAAUUAAAUCAAAGUGCUUACACACAGUGCUCUCCGGAAUGCGUCUGAUUUUGAUAACAUUAGAUGAUAAUUUUGAAAUCAUAAUUAUAAUGUUUAAAUAAACGUGCCUUUUUUGUAGAUUGGCAGCGUCAUGGAUCUCAGUAAUGACAAGCGUGUGGUGUUUCACCAUUCUACGUAGUCGUGACUGGAUGGGUUUACGAAAAAAAAAAAAAAAAAUACAGGAUCGGCUUCCAAAUAGGAAAUUGCGUCAUGUCAUCAAAGAUAGAUUGACAAUGGAAUGGAUUGCGUAGUAAGGAUAGUGGAUUUGAUGUUUUACGUGGUCUUGUCUGCUACAGUUGACUAUGAUUCUGAUAGACUACCUGACAUCAGAUUUUGGAGAAAUAUUCCAUCAAUAAAAGUUAUGGCAUAUCUCCCCAUAUUUUUAAAUGAAUAGUCUACUAAUUGAAAUAAAUGAAAAUUUUGAAUAGAAA